Non-coding RNA from Omnitrophica WOR_2 bacterium RBG_13_44_8, 1910 nucleotides. The record is from Rfam. NCBI's taxonomy places the organism in Bacteria, Pseudomonadati, Candidatus Omnitrophota.
GAAUAAGUUAAUAAGAGCAUACGGUGGAUGCCUUGGCGGUAAAAGACGAUAAAAGACGUGGUAGGCUGCGAUAAGCUGCGGGUAGGCGCCGAACAGCCUUUAAUCCGCAGAUUUCUGAAUGGGGAAACCCACCGCGAGUCAUGUCGCGGUACCUACACCUGAAUACAUAGGGUGUAAGGAGAUAACCAGGGGAACUGAACCAUCUAAGUACCCUGAGGAAAAGAAAUCAACCGAGAUUCCCAAAGUAGUGGCGAGCGAAAUGGGAACAGCCCAAACUCAUCGGGCGUGAUAGCGUGAAGGCGUUUCCUGAUGAGGGUUAUAGGAGUUGCCGUUCGUUUCUUCGCAAACGAGGAAAAGUCAAAAAACCAGGUUAUAGUGGAAAAGAGAUGGAAAUCUUUACCAUAGAAGGUAAUAGUCCUGUACAUGAAAUGUUCUGGUCUUUUCUGGCAACCACCUGAGUACAACGGGACACGUGCAAUCCUGUUGGAAUUCGCGGGGACCACCCUGCAAGGCUAAAUACUCUUUACCGACCGAUAGUGAACUAGUACCGUGAGGGAAAGGUGAAAAGAACCCCGGGAGGGGAGUGAAAUAGUACCUGAAACCGUAUGCUUACAAGUUGUGGAAGGGCGCGACGAAAGUUGUGCCUGACUGCGUACUUUUUGUAGAACGGGCCGGCGAGUUAUGGUAUGCAGCAAGGUUAACCAGUAAGGGUAGCCGAAGCGAAAGCGAGUCUUAAAUGGGCGAAUUAGUUGCAUGCCAUAGACCCGAAGCUGAGUGAGCUAUCCAUGGCCAGGGUGAAUCGAGGGUAAGACCUCGUGGAGGCCCGAACCCACAAGCGUUGAAAAGCUUGGGGAUGAGCUGUGGAUAGGGGCGAAAGACCUAUCAAACUCAGAAAUAGCUGGUUCUCCCCGAAAUAGCUUUAGGGCUAGCCUCAAGUGUUCAGUCAUAGAGGUAGAGCACUGAAUAGACUAAGGGCCUCACAAGGUUACUAACUCUAAUCAAACUCCGAAUGCUAUGACCUAAAAGCUUGGGAGUCAGACAGUGGGGGAUAAGCUCCAUUGUCGAGAGGGAAAAAGCCCAGACCACCAGCUAAGGUCCCUAAAUAUGGACUAAGUGGUAAAGGAUGUGGGAUUGCACAGACAGCCAGGAUGUUGGCUUAGAAGCAGCAAUCAUUAAAAGAGUGCGUAAUAGCUCACUGGUCAAGUGGUCCUGCGCCGACAAUGUCCGGGGCUAAAGUCCAUUACCGAAGCUGUGGAAUUCGAGCAAUCGGAUUGGUAGGGGAGCAUUCUCUGCAGGAGUGAAGCUGCGCCGUGAGGCGUGGUGGACCGCAGAGAAGAGAGAAUGCCGGCAUGAGUAGCGAGAGACAAGCGAGAAACUUGUCCGCCGAAAGCCUAAGGUUUCCUGGGGAAGGUUAAUCCGCUCAGGGUUAGUCAGGGCCUAAGUCGAGGCCGAGAGGCGUAGACGAUGGAUAACAGGUUAAUAUUCCUGUACCGCUAAAUUGCGCCUGAGCAAUGGGGUGACGCAGUAGGGUAGACCAUCGCGGUUUGGUUGUCUGCGUUUAAAUACCAAGAGUGUCUUUUUGGCAAAUCCGGGAGACAUCAAGCUCAAGGUAUGAUGACGAUCCUCUUUUGGAGAAGUGGUUGAUCUCACACUGCCAAGAAAAGCCUCUAGCAAGCAAUUUGGCGCCUGUACCAAAACCGACACAGGUAGGCGAGGAGAGAAUCCUAAGGCGAUCGAGAGAACUCUCGUUAAGGAACUCGGCACAUUGACCCCGUAACUUCGGAAGAAGGGGUGCCUCGGUAGGGUGAAAUCGCAAGAUCCAGCCCGAGGAGGCUGCAAUAAUCAGGCUCAAGCGACUGUUUACUAAAAACACAGGUCUCUGCAAAGUCGUAAGACGACGUAUAGGGACU